GCUCUGGCCUUAGCCGACCCAUGACACGUCUAGUUGAAAGGUGUCUUAUUGCAAGAGUCUUAUACAUAGCAAAUUGCGAAGUGGGGUGGGUGGUGUUCAAUUCCCUUUCAUGCUAUGUUUGAUGGGAAGAAGAGGCCGUUCAGUGUGAUCCCUCCAUCGACGUAAAUAAUCUGCCCUGUUAUAUAAGAAGCUGCAGGCAGGCAGAGAAAUGCCACCAAUGACGAGACUUCUUUUGGCUCUCCGGUGCGUCCCAUCGGAAUCUUAGUGAUGAAAGCCCCAAGUGCUUUUUCAUCAUGAAAAAACUGCAAAGGAGAACGGAAAACAAUCGUAAUCAGCUCUUUCAAAAUUGGAGAAUGUGGAGCAAACUAUGCUUUGACGAAGCUUUCCCAGUUUUCUAGCAAGGACAAUGUAGCAUUUGGUCUGUUAAUGCUAGGUUGGCCUGUUGCCUCUUCUGCUAAAUAGCUUUUUUCUAACUUCUUGUCAUGGUGCUAAAGUGAUCCCACAUGUUCAUCUUUUUUCUAAACAAAUCACUUUCAUUUUUAUGUUGGACGAUAUUCGUGCUGGCUAGGUCCUAUUAUGAUCAUGCUGAAUGAUGAUAAGCGUAGGGAAAGUUAUUUACAGGUUCAACAAGGGGAGUUCUGAUCACUGAAGGUGCAACAGCAUUGACCCUAAUAUUGUCUCCCGCCCACUCACAUGCUAAGUAUUUUGCAAGCUGGUUCAUGGCCCCUGAAACAGAUGACAUGAGAUUCAGGGAAAUGGCAAAAAAUUUAAGGUCAAAUCUUCAAUUUCGAAAUGAAUUUGUGUAUAUAUACAUGCAGUAGAGGUAGUAUAUCAGGCAAGAGAGUUACCUUUGGUUGCUCCAUAUGUAGGCGCAGUUCUUAGUGGUAUUAGGCCAGCAAUUGAAGAGAGAAGCACAACGCUUCCUGCCCCUGAAGCUUUCAGAAGAGGAUGUGCAAGUAGGCUCAAGUUAUGAGCUGACUCAAAAUUGGUACCCAUGAGAAAUGAAACUUCUUCAGCCGUUUCCUCUGAAAUCGGCUUUGCAAAAACGGUUCCCACAUUGUUUAUCUGCAGUCGCACCAAACAUCAGAACCACGAAUCUCACAAAAACUCAAGAAAUUAUGACAGCCAGUAAUUUUGGAAGGAAGUAGGAAAGCGGAUGAUGAUAAUCACCAGGAUGUCAAGUUUCCCGUUGAAUACAGAGGAGGCAGUGUUAAUUAGCUUUUCCCUUUGGGCCUUAGACGAAACAUCACAGGCUGAACCAGUAACUUGGAAGCCCUUUGCUUGCCAUUCAAGUAAGCACUUGUUGAGCUCGGUUUCGGUUCGGGAGCAUGUAUGAAUUCUUGCUCCUAGUCCCGCUAGUUCCUCUACGAUAGCAUGCCUGAUUGCAGUACUUGGUGUCAGUCAAACAGCAGGUAAAGGAGCAAAACAGUCCCCAAUAUCAAGAAUAAAGCAGCAACAAAGGGCUGUGGUCUUUGAAUAUACAAAAAAUGUUAUAUAUUUUCAUGUAAAAAAGUCCAAGAAUCAAAAGAGAAAGAAAGGGGGAAGAGAGAAAAAGAACCCGAUUCCUUUGGUUCCACCAGUAACAAGGGCAGUCAUGCCAUGCAGACUCCAUCUGUUAUCCUUGCUAGAGCUAUCUGCUUCAGCCAUUCUUACUUCUCUGUCUGCCUCUUCCUUUGUCUGCUUGCAGUUGAGAUAUAUUAUGUGUGGCACAUAGUUGCCUUCCCACAUUCGCCAUUGGUACAAAAGAUUCCAUAGGAAAUUAAAUGGGGAAAAGGACAGCAGUUAAGUAGUUUUGGUUCCACACGGCAGUCACAAUGUAUGGACAAAGGCUAUAGUCAAUAAAGAAUAAGAUGCCGUUGUCCAUAUCCCAUUGUGCUUGGUAAUACCAAUAGCCAUUAGACCUUGCUUUUAAUUAGCUCUCCUUCAUAAUUAUUUAGGUGCAUAAGGCAUUACUAAUUACUCAACAAUUAGGGAGGUAGUUGAUUUUCUUUUUCAUCCAUGUUUAAGGAGUAAUAACAGAAUAAUUAACCAACCAUUGGUCAAGUUUUUAUUGUUUAGAUAAAUGUUUGACAAAAAUCAUAUGAAAAAUUAUCACCUAGGAAAGUGUUUGCUCCAAUCACUGAAUUUAUAAUUAUACUACCUGUAGGGAUGAGCAAACCAAAUCAGAUUAAUUAUCCACUCAAAUCAAAUACAAUUUUGGUAAAAUGGUUUGGUCUAAUUAAUUCAUUGGGUCAAUUGAUCUAAAAUAUUUAGUCUAAUUAGUUUUUUGGUCAGUUCUUGGAUUUAAAAUUUUUGAACCAAUCCACUCAAAAAAUACGCUAAUUAUAUAUAUAUAUUAAUAUAUAAAAUAUAUUUUUAUAUAUAUAUAUAUAAAAAANAUAAUAAUAUAAAUAAUAAAAUAUAUUUUUAUAUAUAUUAAGAAAAUGGAUAAUAAACUUAAUUAAUAAUGUCACGAUCCAAAUCGGGGAGCUGUCAUUGAUGCACGAGCCCAGCAGGCAAAACCCACGAGAUCUUAGCAAGCGUACAAAAUUUUGGAUCAAAUUAGAACAUAUAACACAUAGCCAAGGGUUUUCCACAAUUGUAUAUUCAUAAUAUAAUUUAAAUUCAAAUACAUGUCAAUUACCCCUUGGUGUCAUGGGCCAAAAUUUAAGCUUAACCUCGUGCGACCUUGAAUUCUGAAAAUAAAACUUAAGUAAGCUUAUAAAUCAUGAAUCCAUAUUCUCAACCCAAAAGACAUGCCUAAUAGGUGGUGGAAGAUCUAUGUUUAUAUAUUCAAGACCCACCUCAUCUCUUAUUGAUGUGAGAUCCGUGAUAUUUUACCCCACCUAAUUGUGUAAUACUUUUGUUGCCUUCCUAUUUUCGCCAUUGGUACAAAAGAUUCCAUAGGAAAUUAAAUGGGGGAAACGGACAACACUUAAGUAGUUUUGGUUCCACAUGGCAGUCACAAUGUAUGGACAAAGGCUAUAGUCAAUAAAGAAUUAGAUGCAAUUGUCCACAUCCCAUUGUGCUUGGUAAUACCAAUAGCCAUUAGACCUUGCUUUUAAUUAGCUCUCCUUCAUAAUUAUUUAGGUGCAUAAGGCAUUACUAAUUACUCAACAAUUAGGGAGGUAGUUGAUUUUCUUUUUCAUCCAUGUUUAAGGAGUAAUAACAGAAUAAUUAACCAACCAUUGGUCAAGUUUUUAUUGUUUAGAUAAAUGUUUGACAAAAAUCAUAUGAAAAAUUAUCACCUUGGAAAGUGUUUGCUCCAAUCACUGAAUUUAUAAUUAUACUACCUGUAGGGAUGAGCAAACCAAACCAGAUUAAUUAUCCACUCAAAUCAAAUACAAUUUUGGUAAAAUGGUUUGGUCUAAUUAAUUCAUUGGGUCAAUUGAUCUAAAAUGUUUAGUCUAAUUAGUUUUUUGGUCAGUUCUUGGAUUUAAAAUUUUUGAACCAAUCCACUCAAAAAAUACGCUAAUUAUAUAUAUAUUAAUAUAUAAAAUAUAUUUUUAUAUAUAUUAAGAAAAUGGAUAAUAAACUUAAUUAAUAAUGUCACGAUCCAAAUCGGGGAGCUGUCAUUGAUGCAUGAGCCCAGCAGGCAAAACCCACGAGAUCUUAGCAAGCGUACAAAAUUUUGGAUCAAAUUAGAACAUAUAACACAUAGCCAAGGGUUUUCCACAAUUGUAUAUUCAUAAUAUAAUUUAAAUUCAAAUACAUGUCAAUUACCCCUUGGUGUCAUGGGCCAAAAUUUAAGCUUAACCUCGUGCGACCUUGAAUUCUGAAAAUAAAACUUAAGUAAGCUUAUAAAUCAUGAAUCCAUAUUCUCAACCCAAAAGACAUGCCUAAUAGAUGGUGGAAGAUCCAUGUUUAUAUAUUCAAGACCCACCUCAUCUCUUAUUGAUGUGAGAUCCGUGAUAUUUUACCCCACUUAAUUGUGUAAUACUUUUGUUGCCUUCCUAUUUUCGCCAUUGGUACAAAAGAUUCCAUAGGAAAUUAAAUGGGGGAAAAGGACAACACUUAAGUAGUUUUGGUUCCACACGGCAGUCACAAUGUAUGGACAAAGGCUAUAGUCAAUAAAGAAUAAGAUGCAGUUGUCCACAUCCCAUUGUGCUUGGUAAUACCAAUAGCCAUUAGACCUUGCUUUUAAUUAGCUCUCCUUCAUAAUUAUUUAGGUGCAUAAGGCAUUACUAAUUACUCAACAAUUAGGGAGGUAGUUGAUUUUUUUUUUCAUCCAUGUUUAAGGAGUAAUAACAGAAUAAUUAACCAACCAUUGGUCAAGUUUUUAUUGUUUAGAUAAAUGUUUGACAAAAAUCAUAUGAAAAAUUAUCACCUAGGAAAGUUUUUGCUCCAAUCACUUAAUUUAUAAUUAUACUACUUGUAGGGAUGAGCAAACCAAGUCAGAUCAAUUAUCCAUUCAAAUAAAAUGCGAUUUAGGUAAAAUGGUUUGGUCUAAUUGAUCCAUUGGGUCAAUUGAUCCAAAAUGUUUGAUCUAAUUAGUUUUUUGGUCAGUUCUUGGAUUUAAAAUUUUUGAAUCAAUCCACUCAAAAAAUCACACUAAUUAUAUAUAUAUAUAUAUAUAUAUAUAUUAAUAUAUAAAAUAUUUUUUAUAUGUAUUAAGAAAAUGGAUAAUAAACUUAAUUAAUAAUGUCAUGAUCCAAAUUAGGGAACUGUGAUUGGCGCAUGAGCCCAGCAGGCAAAACCCAUGAGAUCUGAGCAAGCGUAAAAAACUUUGGAUCAAAUUAGAACAUAUAACACAUAGCCAAGGGUUUUCCACAAUAGUAUAUGCAUAAUAUAAUUUAAAUUCAAAUACAUGUCAAUUACCCCUUGGUGUCAUGGGCCAAAAUUUAAGCUCAACCUCGUGUGACCUUAAACUCUGAAAAUAGAACUUAAGUAAGUCUAUAAAUCAUGAGUCCUUAUUCCUAACCCAAAAGACAUUCCUGAUAGGUGGUGUAAGAUCCAUAUUUAUAUAUCCAAGACCCAUCUCAUCUCUUAUUGAUGUGAGAUUCGUGACAUUUUACCCCACCUAAUUGUGUAAUGCUUUUGUUGCACUGGCUCUUUACCUGUAGAGGAGAGGGACUCUUACGCUAGUUCGGGUCUACCUUGAUCCUUGUAUCUCUCAUGGGAGCCCACAUUAAUGAAUAUUUGAGUUUGCUUUGAUACCACUUGUCACAAGCCGAAACUUAAGCCCAACUUUUUUACCCGUAGAGGAGAAGGACUCUUACAAUAGUUUGGGUCUACCUUGAUCCUUGUAUCUCUCAUGGGGCCCUACAUUAGUGAAUAUCUGAGUUUACUUUGAUACAAAUUGUCACAAGCUGAAACUUAAGCCCAACCCCAUACGGUUUUAAACUUUUAAAAUAAAGCUUAAGUAUAUACUUUAAAGCAUUUGUUUUGGCAUAUAGAAGGGGCAAAAGCAUAAUUUCAAAUGGGGUAAAGGAAAAAGAAGGGCUUUAUCUCCACUAGAGGCUCAUGAGAAUACAUCAUUCCAUAAACAUAUUGUUAGAAAAAAAUUUCUAGGAAACAAAUGAAAAUAAAAUAAAGCAAGUAAAUACAGUAAAAAGUUUGAAGCGAGGUAUCACUGUCUUUAAGGAUAAUUUUCGUCGCCCUUUCAGAGUACAAGACUCGGUGCAAAAGGACUGUAGCAGUUAUCCUCCAGGAUUCAACAGACCAUUCCUUAUAGUUUGCACAAACUAGUAAGGGAUAGCAGGAACAACAAAAAGAUUUCUCUGAAAAAAUAAAACUCAAUAGGAAAGGCAUUAAAACAGAGAAAUAGUAUGCAAAGAAACUUGAGAGGAAAGUAGCAAAAGAAGCCUUGCUUAGUGUGUGUUGUAACUGAGGUAGGGAGGCUGUAUUUAUAAGUAGAUGAUGAAGUGAACGUUGCACCAAAUCAGGAGAGUUUUUGAGUCUGAUUUAUUCAAAGGUUGAGAAAGCUUAAAAGAAAAAUAGGUUAACAUUAGUGGAGUUUGAGUUGAUUCAUUCAAAGGUUGAGAAAGCUUAAAAAAAAAAAAAAUUAAAGCUAAGGUAUAAAAAUUAACUUGGGCUUAGCCCAUGUGUAUACUUGUGCGCAAGAGAAAAAAUUUGAAUUUUUUCAAAGCUUAGCCCAAUCUCGUGUGCGUGUGUGCCCACUCCUUUUUCUUCUUUGCAACAAAUCCAUAAUGAGUUUGCAUAUUUAAAGCACUUACACAUUUAUGUACCUUAGCAAUGUGGGAUAUUUGAACCUUAUUCAAUACACUAUUUUCCCAACAUAUUUAUCUUCUUUACCACCACUCCAUUUAUUCUUUCAUCAAUCGCCUACAACAACUGCCUCUAAUGUAGCUGACUUUUCGGAUGAAAACAACUUUGGUACAACAAUUUUCAAAUUGGUGAAUUCUGUCACAUGGAAAUUCAAGUGUUUAUGGUUAGAAUAUUUUUGUCACAUAGACAUCCACAUGACUGUGAUUUAUGUCACGUAGUCAUCCAUAUUGAUGUCCACAUAAUAUUAAGGUGGUAGAUUUCUUUUAAUGUUGAUGACGAUUGAUUGAUGAAAUGAAUAAAAUUAAAAUAUUUUUAAAAAGUAAUAAAAUUAAAAACUACAUAUUAGAAUUCACGAAUGAAAAUAAAAUAUUAUACAAAAGUCAUAAAUGUUUGAUGCUAGUUAGAGAGAAAAUCAUUUCUAAAAUGUGUAGUCUAUUCACUAGAGUUCCGCAUGUCUUAAUUGUGAGCCUACGCUUUUUAUAACAUUACGUCUCUUCGAUUAACUAAUUUUCACUUAAUGUCUUAUUUUUGUUUGGAAUUAGUCAACCAAUGUGCUCAUAGGCUUUUUAAUUCUUGAAUAUUAAUCUAUAUCAUGGCAUUAUCAACUACAGAUGGCAACAAAAUAUAUAUAGUAGAACAGUAAUUAUAGACAAAAUGCAAGAAGCAACAGCUUUUGUUUCAUUUUGGUAGAUAAUAGAAAUGAAAUCCAAAUCCAAACAAGUGCCGCAGUUCAGAUUUUUUUUUAUUGACAAGUUGCAUUCUUAGACGGCAGAUUAAGAGGGAAAAGAAAGAGAAAGACAAGCAACAGCUAGGGAGCUGUAACUGAGGUGCCGAACACUUCAUUUCUUAUUUUCUUGUUUUGGUUUUUGGGCAAAGCCUUGUGCUCCAUUUCAAGAUUGGGAACUAGCUUGGCUGUUCUUCUCGAUUAAGGUUUCAUGGUAGAAGAAGCCAUUCACUGACAUGCCCCCAUCGAUGCAAAAAGUCUGCCCUGUUAUAUAAGAGGAUGCUAAUAGGCACAGGAAUCCCACCAAGGAUGACACUUCCUCUGGCUCUCCAAUGCAUCCCAUCGGAGUUCGACAGAUGAUAGUCUCUGAAAACUUUUGAAUGUACUGCAAGCAAGGAGAAUGACAACAAUUAUAAAUACUACUAAUUUACAACACUGAAAAUAUUGUACAGUUUGAGGAACAAAACUUUGCAUGCUUUAAUGUAACCUUUCAAAUUUAUAUAUGAACUUUUACCAUAAUGGUCUCAAAUUGUAUACUUUUUAAUUAUUAAAAAAAUCCUAGCAAUCAAUAUAGUCAUUUCUUGUAAUUUAUUCUAUAACUCAUCUCUUAGGAUAUCCGUUUUGGUUACACUUACUCUGAAUGAUAUGAUCAGGCUGAUAAACAUAAACGGUAAAUGUAUGGGGAAAGAAUAUUUUUUACAAGUUCAACAAGGGGAGUUCGAAUGACCAAAGGUGCAACAGAGUUGACUCUUAUAUUGUUCUUUGCCCACUUACAUGCCAAGCAUUUUGCAAGGUGGCUCAUGGCUCCUGAAGACAAUGGAAUGAAAAUCUCAAUUCAGUCAAGAGUGAUAAAAUUACUCACCUAUGUGCUUGCAAUAUAGGUUUAAUUUGACAGGAAAAUUAUACACACAUACACACACACACACACACAGACCUUUUGUUGCUCCAUAUAAAGAUCCACUACUUACUGAUACCACACCAACAACUGAAGAGAGAAAAACGAUGCUUCUCGCUACUAAAGCUUUCAAAAGAGGAUAUGCAAGUUGGCACAAGUUGUAAGCAGACUCAAAAUUGAUCCCCAUGAUCAAUGAGAAAUCUUUAGUGAUGAAGUCUAGAGUCGGCUUUGAAAUAAGUGUUCCCACAUUGUUAAUCUAUAGCACACCAAGUUGGCAUUAUUGGAACCACAAAUGUCUCAUUAGCAAAACUCAGGAGUCUGGACAUUAUGCAGAAUGAGAGUUACCAGAAAAAGAAAGAAUAAGAAUGGAUGCUUACUUACCAGGAUGUUGAGUUUUCCACCAAAUUCAGAGAACAUAGUGCUUAUUAGCUUCUCUCUUUGGGCUUGAGAUGAUACAUCACAGAUUGAACCAGUAACCUAGAAACCCUUUGCUUCCCAGUCAAGUAAGCAUUUGUUGAGGUCAGUUUCAUUUCGUGAGCACGUGUGUGUUCUCGCUCCCAGUGCAACUAAUUCUUCUACGAUAGCGUACUUGGUUACAAUAUUAAUUAAUUUGUGAUCAGUCAAAUAGAAGCUCCAUUUUUGCCAAUAUAAUGAUCUAAUCACUGUAAAGGGGGUUCUUGUGAUAGGGAGAGGAAGUAUUGCAAACAAGUAAAAGAAUGUGCCAGAGGCGGCAGAGAGGAAGAUUGAAGCAAUUCCUAAAGUAUUAAGUACUGUGGUAGGUGGAAGACAAUAAGAAGAGACUUAAAGAGACUUAGAGAGUACAAGAUAAUUAGAGAGAGAAUUUAGAAAGAGAAGCUCUCAAGUUGAGAAUGUGUUAGCUUGGAGGGGGAGAGAAGAGUCAUUCCAAAUGAAUUGUGAGGCUCUAUAUAUAGUGCUAAAAGUGACGAUUACAUAAGAAUAGGCUUUAAUGCGCUUAAUGAAUGACAUUAUUAUGAAGAAUAUUAAUGUAAGUAAACGUUACUGUAAUUGGAUGUAAUAAGACUUGUUCUCAAGUAAGGGUAAUAGAAAAGAGGUGUACAAGAAUAGGUACAAGAGCAGAAGCUGUACGAGAAUAGGUACAAGAGAAUAAGCUGUACAUGAAUAAGUAUACAAGAACAAGGUAAGAGGGUGAAACACUUGUACUUCAGGAAAGGGUUAAGAGGAAGACCUUUUAACUACCUCCAUAUCUGAGCCACCAAGCCAAACUCUUUGGAACAUCCCAAGAUGAAAGUAACCCAUGAACCCUGCCACUUGUUUCGAGUUGCUUUCACUGUCAUCCAAGUGAAAUGGUUAUUCUAUUCGAAGUAGUUGUUUUACUUGUAAUAAUUGUUCCAUAUGGAGUAGUGUUCUAUUUAUUCUAGUUAUUCUGCGUUAAGUAGCACUUCACUUGUUCUAGUUGUUUUGCGUGAAGUAGUGCUUCACUUGUUCUACUUAUUCUACGUGAAGUAGCACUUCACUUGUUUUACUUAUUCUGCGUGAAGUAGCACUUCACUUGUUCUGGUUGUUCUCUGUACAACAUUAUAUUGUAACCUAAUUCUUUAGAGUAACAGUAUUAACCAAAAUCUAGUAUCUACACAUAUAAGGAAAAAAAACCAUAGAAUGAAUCACUUUCAAGCAGUAAAAAACAAUUUGAAACAACUAGUAUGUAAGUUCAUCUCAAGUGAUAAUGGAUUAGAAAAUAGAGAAAUUUAUCAAUUGUACUUAGUUUUGUAUUUCUUGGUGGGUGACUUUUCUUCUUUGCUAGUGGUGGGUUGCUUUUAUGGUGUAGAUUGUGGGAAAAGUUCUCUAACUACUUGACUUUUGAUUGGUGAUGGCAAAACUUAUUCUUCUGGUUGUUUUAUUGUUGCUAUGGGUGUCUAUGAUUCUGAGUUAACAGUUGGAGGUGUUAAUGAUCUCGAGACAUUACUAGAAAUUGCAGUGCACCAUUCUUGAUGUUGCAGUUCAUCACAGUCAAACAUUUUGUAGUUGGCAAUUCCUAUUUUGAUUGCCUUGCUUGUUAACCCCACAGUAAAAAUUCUUACUUAGCUAAUCAAUGCCUUAACAGGUCUAGGUAGCGUCAUUCGGCUGAUAGCCUGCAAUGCUACAAGUUUAAUAAUUGUCACACCAACCAACUUCUCUAUUGGCCUACCAAAGGCCACCAAGUCCAUUUGUCCAGUANNNNNNNNNNNNNNNNNNNNNNNNNNNNNNNNNNNNNNNNNNNNNNNNNNNNNNNNNNNNNNNNNNNNNNNNNNNNNNNNNNNNNNNNNNNNNNNNNNNNNNNNNNNNNNNNNNNNNNNNNNNNNNNNNNNNNNNNNNNNNNNNNNNNNNNNNNNNNNNNNNNNNNNNNNNNNNNNNNNNNNNNNNNNNNNNNNNNNNNNNNNNNNNNNNNNNNNNNNNNNNNNNNNNNNNNNNNNNNNNNNNNNNNNNNNNNNNNNNNNNNNNNNNNNNNUUUUUUUUUUUUUCCAAUUGAAAGUUAACCUGAUGUAGCCUAAUGUAGCCUUAGAAAAGUGAAAAAAAGAACUAAAUAAAUGCUGAAGCAAAAAGACCAAACAAAGGCUGACUAACUUGUCAAAAAUUUUCUUUUUUUUUUAUUUGUUGGUAGCAAAAAGCUGCAAGUUGUAAUAAUCAUUUUUUUUAUUUAUAUAAAGAACACGUUUUUAACUUUGGAACAAUUUAUUGGCAACCAAAAGUCGCCAGCUGCAUAUAUAUAUAUAUAUAGAGGGGGUUUACUUUGGAGGAGUUUGUAGCGGCAAAGCUGCAAGUUGCAGUAGUUUAUAUAUAUAUAUAUAUAUAUAUAUAGAAAGGGAGUGUACUUUGGAGCAGUUUGUAGCGGCAAAAGUUGCCGACCAAAUUUUUUUUUUAUAAAGAAGAUGGCUUUACUUUGGAGCCACGAGCUCUUUUGAAUAGAGCAAUGGAGCUCGCGGUGUGCCGCAAGCUCUUUUAAUUAGAGCUCGCGGUAUGUGCCACGAGUUGCUUCCAUUAGAGCUCGCGGUACAUGCCGCGAGCUACUCUAAUUUGAACGAUUUUUUUUAAAUUUUAUAAUAAUAAUUUUUUUUUAGUUGACUCUCUUUUUUUUUGUGUUAUAAUUUAUUAUUUUAUUGUAAUGUAUAGUUUUUGAUAGAAAAAAUAUUAGAAUAAAAGAAAUGAGUAAAGGUUGAAGUGAAAGAAGCAAAUAAAAGUUAGUGCAUAUCAGCUUUUGAUAAAAAGGCAAAAACUAAAAUAAUUAAUAAAUAAAUGAACAAAAGGUAGCACAUGUCAAACCAUCGUUUCUCCUCUUAUUUAUUAGCAACACAAGCUGCGUUUCUUGUGUUUUUUUUUUUUAAUGUAUAGGACUUGGCUUUUGUAGGACUGUUUUUGGUUUUAGUGUUACUGUAGAACUUGCGGCAUAAACUCAAGUAUAGAAGAGAACUUUGGAAACAGUACUUUUGUUUUAACCUCAAGACACGCCAUAGCUUUUAUUUAUUUUUUACUUGGUUUUGGUGCUAAAGCUUGUGGCUUGUGCGGCACCUUUGUUUUGAAGCUUUCUUUUGUCCUCGCGAUUUACCGCAAGUUAUUUCUAUUGAAGCUCGCGGCAUAUACCGCGAGCUAUUUCUUUUAAAGCUCGCGGUUUAUGCCGUAAGUUAUUAUUAUUGUUUUAUUUUUUUUAUAAUUUUUAAUUAUUAUUUUAUUUUUAUUUAAAGUUAUAAUUUUUUUUAAGUUUUACUUAUUUAUUAUAUAUAUUUAUAUUGCAUAUAUAAAAAUAAUAAUAUCAAAAUCUAUAAUUUUGAUAAGUUUUAUUUGUGAUUUUUUUAUACAUAAUAAAUAAGUAAAAGUAAAAAAUUAUUGAGUAUGUAUACUUAUCUCUUUUUCCAUAAUCAUGUUUGUAGGUAACUUUUUUCAUCAUCCUCUAUGCCUAGGACGCGUGUCCUUUCGAAGAUCAAUUAUGGUGAGCUUGAAAGGGCUGCAACAAGGAAGAAAACCACUGCACAUAAAAGUAAGAAUAGUGAUUCCAAAUUAAUUGUUCCCAAAAAAAUUAUAAUAGAAAAGAGUGGUGAAGUUCCUCCUGUUUUUGAAAAUUUGAAAGAUGAAAUUAUUAAAGAAAGAGGAGAAGAUCGUUUUUAGGAAGAGGUUCAUGCUAGACAGGUUGACGAACAUCUUUAUGAGUCUGUUGGAUAUGAUUGGAAUCGUGUAUGCUCAAAAGCACCUCCUCAUAGAAGAAAUGGUAUUCCAGGACAAUCUAUUCUGAAAUUCAGGUUUGAACGUGGUGAGUUUCCCCUUUUUGCUACUAAGUUAGGCUCCAAUUCUCAAUUUCUUCAUGGUUGGGAUGAAUGGGUAACUAAGGUAUUGAAGAAUCCUUCUUAUGUUAAACUUCUCUCUUCUGUUGGGAUACUUGAUGCUAUACGUAUCACUUCUAAGCUCAAUAUUCGUAGAGAAAAAAUGAUGGAUGUGUGGCGUGCUAUUCUUGCAAGGUGGAGCACGUUUUCUUAUACUAUGAUUAUUACAUGGGGGGAAUUUACCUUCACUCUGGAAGAUGUAUGUGUUCUCUUGGAACUUCCUUGUAUAGGAAAGGAUGAUUUUCACUCUAUUAAGCUUUCUGAAGAAGAGGUAUGUACUCGAGACUUGUUCUUCGAUCUACUUAGGAGUUUGAGUAAAACUUUGAAGGUUGCAAGAUUCUCCAAUUGGAUAGGGGUUUUUUAUAAAAAGUUCAAUGCUAAGGGAAUUGAGAUUGGUUCUCUUGAGUACCCAGACCAUAAGUAUGAACUAGUAGCUUUAAUAAUUUUUUGGCUGGCACGACACGAACUCCCAAGGUGUCCAGAUGAUGGUAUCUCUUCAGUAGUUGUUCAUUUAGCAAUAAAAAUUGUUAAGGGAACACGUUUUCCUCUUGCUCCACUGUAUUUAGGAUCCCUAUAUAAGAGAUUAGACUUGUUCCAACUCAAAACUGUUGAGUUAGCUGGGCGUUACAAAGUUUUGACUUAUGUGGAUACUUCCUUCAUUCAAAUGUGCUUAUGGGAAAAGUUUGGUACUUGCACUCCCGUGCCUAAUGCAUAUCCUUUUGCAUCUUUUACUGUGAAUAACCCUUUAUCCAGGAACAACUACAGAGCUUGGGCAUGGCAUGAUCGACUCUCGAGAGGUAAUGUUCUUGAAGUAAUGCAUGUGACAACAGAAUUCAAUCCCAAACCUUAUGUGCGGCCCAUAAAUGGAUUUGGUGAUCCUAGAAUUUAUUAUGAUCGCCACCUUCUACAGUCUGGAAGAAUGAGUUCACAAUGUAUUAACUUUUGUGUAUGGGUUCACAGUUCCCAAUUGCCAUCUAUGAUUGAGAGUUCCAGUUUAGGUGGAGAUAGAAAUAUUCUUUCUGUUGAGGUAUAUUCUCUUUUUAGAGUAGCACGUCAAUUUGGGUUUGAUCAACCAGCUUUGCCUGACUCUUCUUCAACUAUCAGUUUUUCUUCAUGCGUUUCUUCAUUCCUCAUGGCAGGACUUCAACUUCGUUUAGAUAAACUUAAGAGUUAUACUGUCACAGCUUUUGAUAGAGUUGGUACUCACACUUCUGGAUGGUUUGCUUAUUGGAUGAAUUGUGUUGAAGAAUGAAGAUAUUUUAUUAUGCCUUUGACUAAUUCCAGAGCUUGUCUCUACACUCCUCCUAUAAGUAACUUUGAUGUAUCCUUACGUUUGAUUUCUCUCAAAAAGAAAAGAAAUGUAAAUGAAGAAGAAAAUGAUGCUCCUCGCACUCUUACUCAUCAAACAAAACAUGUGCAUCGAAAAGUAAGUUCAUCAUUUACUUCUUCUUCUACUUCUUUUUUUUUUUAAAUUCAUUUCCUCAUCAUACUUUUUUUUUUGUAGAGAGAAACAACUACGAGAGUAGAACUUAACUCGAUUGAAGAGGAAGAGACUUUUGAAGCUGAGACUGAGGAAGAAUCAUGUGACUCUGAACGUAGUGAUGAAUCUGAUGAUGAAUUAGUUGAUGUUGAUAAAGCUGAAGUUGAGGGUGAGCCAACCCCUUUUGAUGAUUUCAUUGAUUUUGAUGUUUUAUUUCCAAAUCAUGUUUAGAGCUCUACCAUGAACUAGGUAUAAACAUAUUACUAUGUUAUUCUGAUUGAUGUUGUUCCCUUCCAUUUUUUUUUAAUUAAGAUUGUUCUUACUCCGCAGGCUAUUCGAGAUGAGGUUGUUCCGACACUGAGAUUAUUCCUGUUGUUGAAGUUGUUGCUGAAGCUACUCCAAAUGUUGAGGUUAUUCAUGAUGUUGGAGUUGAUACUGACGAUGUUAGAGCUAUUCCAAUGACUCUUCAUGUUUCUUCCUCCCUAGUCCCAGAACAUAAAGAUGCAAGUAGUGCUUUUGGCAUUCAAGUAACACAUACUGAAGAAAGUGGUAAGAAUGUUGACUUCCAUGGUUUUCAAGUUUCAUUGGAGUAUGUGGCAUACUUGGAGCAUGUUUUCAAUAUAAAGGAAAAGUUUUGGAGUACCUCAUUUGUAAAGAACGUAGACGUCAUUUGCUUAAUGAUGGAAAUGUUGGGUAGAGCUUUAACCAUUUCCCAUGCUCCACUAAUGAGUACUUCACCAGAGGAAUUGCAACAGAUGUUACAGGAUUUCGAUGAUGCUUGUAACUUUAGAUUCAAGCUUGAGUGUCUCAGUGAUUGUAGAUCUAAAGCCAAGAUUUUUCUCAACAAGUCUUCUUUGGAGAAUGAGUUAGAAGACACUGCAGCGAAGAUAGCUUUACUGAAAAAACGUGAAGUUGAAGUACAAGAAUAAUUAAAUGUAUUUGCCAAUAAUAACUCUUCUCUAUGGAGUAUGUAAUUGACUAGUCUUUUGCUUUUCCUUUACUCUUUUUGAAAGCUCAUUUGAGCUAGUACUUCACUAUUGAUAUAUCAUAUUUCUUUUCUUUUGCAAUAAUAAUAAUGUUAUACGCUUAUUGCAUAUUUAUUCACAUUUCUUAUAUUGCAUAUGGCCAAAAGGGAACUCUCAACUUUAUAUCAAGGAGAUUAACUCUAACUUGAUAUGAAGGAGAUUAAUUCAACCCUUAAAAUAAGUAAGCGUAAGAGCUGCGGCCAAUUUGUGAGUAAUAAGCUAGGGCCAAGAAAUGAGUGAUAAAGCUAGCGGCCAAUAGCAUAACAUCAUUACAGCCAAAUUAUGAGCGAUAAAGCUAGCGGCUGGAAUGUGAAUAAUAAAUUAUGGUCAAAGAAUAAGUGAUGAAGCUUGUGACCAAAAGAAGAAUAUCAUUACAGCCAAAAUAUGAGCGGUAAAGCUUGCGGCUGAAGUAAGAAUGAUGAACUAUGGUCAAAGAAUAAGCGAUAAAACUUGCGACUAAUAGUAUAAUAUAAUUACAACCAAAAUAUAAGCGAUAAAGCUAGCGACUGAAUAUGAAAUUUUUUUUAAUGUCAAAUUGCAAUUCAUAAAACGAUGAAGAGUUAAAGUCAUAGAAAUAUCAUACAUGAGCAGGAAGCGGGUUGUUCUGGACCCUGUUGUUCUCAAUCAACAACUCUUUUACUUGCAUUUUCUUAUGGAAUAUUCCCUUUUGAAAAUGAUCUUUUCUUUCUCUACCUCUUCCUUAAAUUGCAUUCACUAUUGGAGUAUUCUUUCUAUCGAAGCGAGUAACUCCUUUUUGUUUGAGAACCGUAUUAUUGGUUCUUUGUGCCAUUUCCAUUAAGGUAGCAAAAGUUGAAAAAGGUAAAUUCUGCUAGUGUAGUCUACACUCGUCAAACAUUUUUUUUUUGAAUGCAAACCGUCACUAACUCCUUUUUAUCAUAAGACUCUUGUAUAUCCAUCACCCUUUCUCUAAAGUGUUAGAUGUAUUCCAUAAGGUCUUCUUUAGACUUUUGAUAUUCUGUUCCCAAAUCAAGGAGAUUAACCUUAUCUUGAGUAGAGAAGAAGAACUCUUCCCUAAACAUCCACAUCAAUUAUAGUUUCUCCAUUUCCUUCAUUCCCCUUAGUGUUUGUAAUUAGAGGAAUGACUUCAUGAAGUGCACUCUCAUUAAAGUAUACAGAUUGAGCUUGAAAAAUGGUGAAAGUGAAGGAUACAAGUUGAGAUAUGGUCUCCAACAUCCGCUUAUUGUUGUCUUCUAACAUUUGCAUUCUCUCUUAAGAAGCCUCAAUCAUUUUCAUUAGCUUUUGGAUGUAGGUGGAAAUAGAUGCAUUUUGGUUACCAGAGAAACUGUCCAUCUCUUCCAAUAACAUAAAGUUUUUCUAGUAAGCUUUUACUUAAUGCAAUCACUCCUCCCUAAUGGAGUCACCAAAAUGUAAAUGGGGUUCUUGUGAUAGGGAGAGGAAGCGUUGCAAACAAGUAAAAGAAUGUGCCAGAGGGGGUAGAGAGCAAAAUUGAAGCAGUUCCUAAAGUAUUAAGUACUGUGGUAGGUGAAAGACAAUAAGAAGAGACUUAAAGAGUAUAAGAUAAUUAUAGAGAGAAUUUAGAGAGAGAAGCUCUCAAGUUGAGAAUGUGUUAGCUUGGAGGGGGAGAGAAGAGUCAUUCCAAAUGAAUUGUGAGGCUCUAUAUAUAAUGCUAAAAGUGAUGGUUACAUAAGAAUAUGCUUUAAUGCGCUUAAUGAAUGACAUUAUUAUGAAGAAUAUUAAUGUAAGUAACCGUUACUGUAAUUGGAUGUAAUAAGACUUGUUCUCAAGUAAGGGUAAUAGAAAAUAGGUGUACAAGAAUAGGUACAAGAGAAGAAGCUGUACGAGAAUAGGUACAAGAGAAUAAGCUGUACAUGAAUAAGUAUACAAGAAUAAGGUAAGAGGGUGAAACAGUUGUACUUCAGGAAAGGGUUAAGAGGAAGACCUCUUAACUAUCUCCAUAUCUGAGCCACCAAGCCAAACUCUUUGGAACAUCCCAAGAUGAAAGUAACCCAUAAACCCUGUCAUUUGUUUUGAGUUGCUUUCACUGUCAUCCAAAUGAAGUGGUUAUUUUAUUCGAAGUAGUUGUUCUACUUGUAUUAAUUGUUCCAUAUGGAGUAGUGUUCUAUUUAUUCUAGUUAUUUUACGUUAAGUAGCACUUCACUUGUUCUAGUUGUUCUGCGUGAAGUAGUGCUUCACUUGUUCUACUUAUUCUACGUGAAGUAGCACUUCACUUGUUUUACUUAUUCUGCGUGAAGUAGCACUUCACUUGUUCUAGUUGUUCUCUGUACAACAUUAUAUUGUAACGUAAUUCUUUAAAGUAACAGUAUUAACCAAAAUCUAGUAUCUACAAUCACCAAAUGCAGAUCAUCUCAUAAACGUUCCUAGUUAAAAAGUCACAUCUAAUUAACAUGUAUAAACAAUGAAGCAAAGUUCUUUAUAUUUUGUUUGCGUUUUUCCUCCAUAACUUGUCUCAAGAUUUUAAAAACUUGCGCAAUCCAUAGGAUGCUUUGUUAUAUUCAUGAAUGUGUCGUUCUGUGCAUACGUAAAAAGUUUUGUCAUUGAAAACAAAUAUAUAUUCAAAAGGAAGAAAAUGUCAAUGGCUUAACAUAUAUGAAGAGUCUCCCAAUUUCGAGUAUAUUAUAUAACAUUGAAAGGUAAAGCAGCAAGAAACGAGGUGUAGCAUCAAACUUGUAAAGAGCAUAUGGUAAAAAAGAAAGAGAGAGAGAAGAGAGAAAAAUUAAGAACCUCGAUUCCUUUGCUUCCACCAGUAACAAGUGCAGUCAUGCCUUGAAGACUCCAUCUGUUGUCCUUCCUAGAGCUAUCUGCUUGAGCCAUUCUUACUUCUCUCUCUGACGGCUUGUAGUUGAGAUAUGUUAAUUCCCACAAAGGCUAUUGCUGACAAAAGAUUCAAUAGGAAAUUAAAGGGGGGGGGGGGGGAAAGACAACAUUUGAGAAGUCGUUUUCGAACAACUGUCACAAUUAAUGCAUGGCAAAAUAUUUAUUCUCGAGCCAAUUCUAGAUGAAUUCUUUCUCAAUCCUAGAUGACAACAAGGGUUUAUUGUCAACAAAGAAAAUUUUAUUUUAGGCAUAUUUUUUUAAUUUUAAUAUUUAAUAAAAUCAUAUUUUUAUUGAGUAAAAUACACCUAUCAUAUGUGAUUUUUUAUAUACAAAAAGAAUAUAAUUUAAAGUAAAGCAAAUCCACAAUCCAUAAAAAUAUAUAAAGAGAGAUGCGUAGAAAGAUAGAAGGCAAAGAGAGGAGAAGAAAAAAGGGUUUUCAAUAAGGACUGAUGACGUGAAAGGCGGCGAGAGGAGAGAAGGUAGAUGUUCUUUCUUUAUGUGAUCAUCAAUUUUUAGAAAAAGACACUUUUGAUGUUCAAGAAACUUUACAUCUUGCUAUCAAAAAGGAGAAUUUAUAAAACUCUUUUGAAUUCACAAUUUUUAAAAAAUAUUCUAAAAUUAUUUUUUUCAAUAAUUAUUUAAAUUAAAAAAUAACAAAACAUAUCAUCUCAACAUCUUUCGAAGUCCACGUGAUAUAAAUCUCAACUCAAAAAAAAUCAAACAAGUAUAUCAUUUUUUUUUUCACAUGAAGAGGCUUGUAUCUUUACAUUACAUCGACUAAUUAAGAAGGCACAAUAGGUCCCGAUUUGUAUACAUAUUUUUUUACAAUUUUAACAAUUAUAACACAACAGACAUUAUGAGGCAAGAGUUAUAGAGCAAGUUAUAUUUAAAAUUUGUAGUCUAUUCACUGGGAUAUAAUUCAUAGCCUUUCAGAAGAUGGAAAGAGUGAAUCAAAUUCCAAUCUCUCUUUUUUGUUAACUUAGAUAUUAAAAUUUCUAUAAAUUAAUAUCGAUAAAUUAAUAAACUCGAAUAAAUAAUGUUUUUGAUCAAUUUCGACUUAGGAUCAAUGUGGUAAAUUGAUAAUUCACUAAAUUUAUAAAAUAAUACAUUUUAAAAAAACACAAACACAUAAGUUUCACUUGAAAUAUAAAUUAAUAAUCUCCUAAUAUAUCAAAAUUAUAUAUAUAUAUAUAUAUAUAUAUUAUAAUAUAUAAAACUUAAUUAAGAAGCCUUUGUAAAAUAUGACCCCAAUGCUAUUUGUUUUUCUUGAAAUUGAUGUCUCUUUGGAUCUCAUUUAUAACUUUUCUUUAUAUUAAACAAACCACUCAUAGAGUAACUUCUCUAGUUUCAGGAAUUUUGCAAUUUUGUAUUGUUUGGCAUCACCUUUUUCAAUGUUGGUUGAUAAAUAGACCUCUUAAUCAUAUUUGAUAUUGUUACUUGACUUAUUUGCAAGUUAAACUUUUUUGACACUCACUAUUGUAAUUGCUUUUAGGUGCAAUUUGGAUUUUCUAUGUUGUACUCACAAAAUACUUUACGCAUUUCUUUUGUCAUUGUUGAUUUCUUUAUACUUUUAAGAUGAGAAGCCAUUGUGUUUAAUUUUAUCAUUUGUGAUAUUGUAUAUUCUUUUUAUAAAUGUUUUUGUAUGACUUAAUGUUCAUGAAGUGUAUUAAUUAAGUUUACAUCAAAUGUGAGUUUAGGUUGUUGCAAAAAUGGAUAGAUUCAUGACUUUUAUUUAAUACAACUAAUUACACUCAUAACUUGUUUUGGAAAGAAAUACAUAGAACAAUGAUAUAUCGUAAUUCAGUAAUUAUGUAAUAUUCAUAUAAUCACAAUAUACAAUACAUGUGUUAAGUUCUAUAUUUUAAAAAAAUAAAAAAUACUUUGAUAAAUUAGUUUUUUAUUAAUUAAUGAUAAAUUAAUAAAUUAUUAAUUUAUCGAUUAAAUGAUAUCUUAAUUAAUUAAUAAAUUUUUUUGAUCCUAAAGAUAUUAAUUUGUAGAUGUUUUAGUGUAUGUUCUAAUUCCACAAUAUUGCAUUGGCUAAAAAAUUGUGGAUUUUCGUGAGCCUACCCUUUCUAAAACAUUACUUCUUUUCUAUUAACUAAUUUUCACUUAAUGUCUUAUUUCUCUUUGGAUUUAUUUAUGCAAUGUACUAAUAAGCCAUUUAAUUAUUCAAUAUUAAUUUAUAUCAUGACAUUAUCAACUACAGAUGGCAACAACGCAUAUAGACACACACACAUAUUUUGUAGAAGAGUAAUUAUAGCCAAAAUGAAAGAAGCUGUGGCUUUUGUUUCAUUAUGGUAGACAACAGAAAGAAAAUCUAAAUUCAAGCAAGUGCAGCAGCUCAUAAUUUUUUUUAUUGACCAGCUGCAUACUUGGACUAGCAGAUUAAGCGAAAAAAGAAAGAGAAAGACAAGCAACAACUAGGAAGCAGUAGCUACUGUGCCAAAGCCAAAUGCAUCAUUUCGUUUUUGGGGCAUUAAUAAAAACAACUCUUAUAGAGAAGAUGUUUUCAAAAAUAGUCCUCUUUAUAAUUUUAACUAUUUUUAAUCAAGUUGAACAAAACUACCUUUAAUGAAGAUAUAAAAUUACAAGCCAUGAUGUUACAUACCAUGUACAAAAAUAUGUUACACGCCAUGUACAAUAACAUGUGACACGCCAUGUAUAAAAACAUGUGACACGUCAUAGUUAGGUUGUUACAUGCCAUGCACAAAAACAUGUGACACACCAUGGUUAGGUUGUUACACACUAUGUACAAAAACAUGUUACACGUUAUGUACAAAAACAUGUGACAUGUCAUGGUUAGGUUGUUACACGCUAUGUACAAAAACAUAUGACACGCUAUGGUUAGGUUGUUACACGUCAUGUACAAAAACAUGUGACACAUCAUGGUAGGUUGUUACACGCCAUGGUUAAGUUGUUACACGUUAUGUACAAAAACAUGUUACACGCCAUGUACAGAUACAUGUAACACAUCAUAGUUAAGUUGCUACAUGCUAUGGUUAUGUUGUUACACGCCAUGUACAAAAACAUAUAACACGCCAUGGUUAGGUUGUUACAUGUCAUAUACAAAAAUAUGUUACAUGUCAUGUACAAAAACAUGUGACACGUUAUGUUUAGGUUGUUACACAUUAUAGUUAGGUUACUACACGUCAUGUACAAAAACAUGUGACAUGCCAUGGUUAGGUUGUUACAUGUCAUGUACAAAAACAUGUGACACACCAUGGUUAGGUUGUUACACACCAUAUUGAAGAAAAAAUAUUAUUGUUACACGCCAUGUUGAAAAAAUAUUGUUGUUAUACGUCAUAUUCAAAUACAUUUUGUGACACUUUAAUGCCUAAAAUGUUGUUGUUACUUACGAACCAAAAUUUCAAAUCUUCUCAACUCUCUUCAUUUUUUUUUUUGACAAUUUGGCAUCGAUUAAAGUAUUUUUAAUAUGUUUUCAUAAAUCAAAACACAAAUUUUCUUAUCUAAAACACCUAUUUCGACUAAAAAUCGAAAAAAAAUUUCUUUGAAAACAUAAGUUUAUAAAUUUCAAAAUUUUGAGUUUAUCGAUGUCUAGGUUCCGAAUUGAUACAAUUAAAAGCUAUUUCAAACAUCUGUGAUUAUUUCUACCAUUUUAGUUUAAUCCAAAAUACCUAAAAAUCAAAAUUUUCAAAUAGUCACCCACCCAAGCACAUCAAAACCAUCGCUUGGUGUCUUGAAAGCGCAGGAAAGAAAAAUCUAAAAACGUGAGAGAAAGAAAUCGGGAGCAUAACAGAUGAAUGCCGAAGAGAGAAAUCGAUAAAAAUAGAGAGAGUGGGAUGGCGAUGAGAGAAAUCGGAAGCAUAAAUGGGGAGAAAUUGUGAUGAAUGAUUUAAUUUAUUUGAAAUAGAUUCAAGGGUAUUUUUGUCAAGUUAUGGCUAAAUAUGGUUAAAAACAGUUAAAUUUAUUUUGAUGGUUAUUUUUGAAAUGUAAGUUAUUGUUCAUAAUUUCCUCUUCUUAUUUUUUCUUGUUUGUUUCUUGGGGAAAGCCUUAUGUGCUCUUUCAAGAUAGGGAAUUAACCUAGCUGUUCUUCCCGAGCAAGGUCUCAGGGUAGAAGAAGGCAUUUACUGACAUGCCCCCAUCGAUGCAAAAAGUCUACCCUGUUAUAUAAAAGGAUGUUGGUAGACACAAGAAUCCCACCAAGGAUGACACUUCCUCUGGCUGUCCAAUGCGUCCCAUUGGAUAGAUUCAUGACUUUUAUUUAAUAAAACUAAUUACACUCAUAACUUGUUUUGGAAAGAAAUACAUAGAAUAAUGAUGUAUCGUAAUUUAGUAAUUAUGUAAUAUUCAUAUAAUCACAAAAUAUAAUACAUGUAUUAAGUUUUAUAUUUUAAAAAAAUUAAAAAAUACUUUAAUAAAUUAUUUUUUAUUAAUUAAUCAUAAAUUAAUAAAUUAUUAAUUUAUCGAUUGAAUGACAUUUUAAUUAAUUAAUAAAUUUUUAUGAUCCUAAAGAUAUUAAUUUAUAGACGUUUUAGUGUAUGUUCUAAUUCCACAAUAUGCCAUUGGCUAAAAAAUUAUGGAUUUUUGUGAGCCUACCCUUUCUAAAACAUUACUUCUCUUCUAUUAACUAAUUUUCACUUAAUGUCUUCUCUCUUUGGAUUUAUUUAUGCAAUGUACUAAUAGGCCUUUUAAUUAUUGAAUAUUAAUUUAUAUCAUGACAUUAUCAAUUACAGAUGGCAACAAUACAUACACACAUAUAUAUAUAUAUUGUAGAAGAGUAAUUAUAGCCAAAAUAAAAGAAGCAACAGCUUUUGUUUCAUUAUGGUAGACAACAGAAAGAAAAUCCAAAUUCAAACAAGUGCAACAGUUCAGAAUUUUUUUUUAUUGACCAGCUGCAUACUCGAACUGGCAGAUUAAGAGGAAAAAGAAAGACAAAGAGAAGCAACAACUAGGAAGCAGUAGCUGCGGUGCCAAAGCCAAAUGCAUCAUUUCUUAUUUUUCUUGUUUUGUUUCUUGGGCAAAGCCUUAUGCACCAUUUCAAGAUAGGGAAUUAGCUUGGCUGCUCAUCCCGAGCAGGGUCUCAUGGUAGAAGAAGGCAUUCACUGACAUGCCCCCAUCGAUGCAAAAAGUCUGCCCUGUUAUAUAAGAGGAUGCUGGUAGACACAGGAAUCCCACCAAGGAUGACACUUCCUCUGGCUCUCCAAUGCGUCCCAUUGGAGUUCGAGAGAUGAUAUUCUCUGAAAACUUUUGAAUGUACUGCAAGCAAGGAGGACAACAAGUAUAGAUACUGCUAAUUAACAACACUUAAAACGUAAUACAGUUUGAGGAACAAAAACUUGCAUGCUGUAGUGUAGCCUUUCCAGCAUUUAUGAGUUCUUGCCAUAUACUUUUUAAUAAUAUGAAAAUCCUAGCAACCAAUAUACUUAUUUGUUGUGAUUUACUUCAUAAUUCUCCUUGGAUAUCCUUUUUGAUUACUCUGAAUGAUAUGAUCAUGCUGAUAAACUUAAAGACUACAAGCAUGGGAGGAAAAAUAUAUAUAUUUUACAUCUUCAGUAAGGGGAGUUCGGAUGAACCAAGGUGCAACAGAGUUGACCCUUAUGUUGUCCUUUGCCCACUCACAUGCCAAGUAUUUUGCAAGGUGGUUCAUGGCUCCUGCAAAUAAUGGAAUGGCAACCUAAAUUCUCAAUCUUGAACGAUUACUCAACUAUAUGCUUGCAAUAAAGGUUUCAUUUGCCAGGAAAAUUAUAUAUAUAUACACGCACAUACCUUUUGUUGCUCCAUAUAAAGAUCCAAAACUUACUGAUACCACACCAGCAAUCGAAGAGAGAAAAACAAUGCUUCCUGCCCCUGAAGCUUUCAAAAGAGGAUAGGCAAGUUGACAAGUUGUAAGCAGACUCAAAAUUGGUCCCCAUCAUAAAUGAGAAAUCUUCAGUGGUGAUGUCUGGAGUCGGCUUUAAAAUAGCUGUCCCCACAUUGUUAAUCUAUAGCCACACCAAUUUGGCAUUUAUAUUGAUAUUUGAGGAUACUAGUUUGGCAUUGUUGCAAUCACAAAUGUCGUCUCAUUAGCAAAACUCAGGAGUCGAGACACUAUGCAGAAUGAGAGUUUGAUGAACUUCCAAAAAAUAAAGUGAAAAAAAAAAAGGGGGGGGGGGGAAGGAAGGAGAGUAAAGAGAAUGCUUAAGAGCAGCAAAGUGAAGAAAAAAUAGAACAACUUCUUCAUUCAUAUCAGUUUGCUACUUAAAGCUUAAGUACAGGGAAUAAAAAGAGAACCAUAAGACAUGAAAUUAGAAACUGAAAACUACCCACUAAGUAAACUCAAUAGAUAACUGAUCCAUAAUUCUAAGUGGUAGACUAACAUGUGCCAAGUAGGAUAACCAACAGUAACUGACUGCAACAUAAAAAAUAAGACUAAACUUAAAUGAGUCUUAUGCACCAGCAUGUAGUAUCUGCUGGUUGCUCAGAUAAACACUAGCAAUGGUUAAAGAGAUGCAUUCCAACUUCAACAGAGUUACCAGAAAAAGAAAAGAAUCAGAAUGGAUGUUUACUUACCAGGAUGUUGAGUUUUCCUCCAAAUUCAGAGGAGACUGUUUAUUAGCUUCUCUCUUUGGGCCUGCGAUGAUACAUCACAGACUGAACCAGUAACCUGGAAACCCUUCGCUGCCCAGUCAAGUAAGCAUUUGUUGAGGUCCGUUUCAGUCCGGGAGCAUGUGUGUAUUCUUGCUCUCAGUCCAGCUAAUUCCUCUAUGAUAGCAUGCCUGGUUGCAGUAUUAAUUUGUGAUGAGUAAAAUAUUAGCUCCGUCUUGGCAUAAUCCAAGGAAAAGUAAAUUAAUGUCUUCACAUCAGCAUGUUAAUUGUAAUAUAAGCCUUUAACAAUUUCCCCUAGAAUCCAAUAAAUGAAAUCAAAAUCGUCUUGGUGAACCGACCAUCACAGUCACUUUUAGCAACACAAAAAUCUAAUUCCUGUUUUUCCUUGAUUUACAAAAUCUUUUAUCGAAUAUAAUGAUCUAAUCACCAAAACAGAUCACUUCAUCACUUCAUACCAAGCGCCCCUAGUUAAAAAGUCGCAUCUAAUUAAAAUGUAUAAACAACAAAGCACAAGUUUUUAUUUAUUGUUUUUGUUUUUGUUCCAGAACCUGUCUCAGGAUUUUAUUAACUUACUCAAUCCACAUAAUGCUUUAUCGCAUUCAGAACUGUAUAGUUCUGGGUAUACAUAAAAGGUUUUGUCAUUGUCAAUAAACAUAUAACUAAUUCUUAAGUUGUUGUACCUAAGUGAAUAGUCAAUGAGGGAAGUAAAGGAGAAGACAAUGUCAAUGGCCUGAUAUAUAUGAACCGUCCCCCAAUUUCGAGUAUAUUAUAUAUUGAAAGGUAAAGCAGCAAGAAACGAGGUGUAGUAUCAAAUUAACAAAAGCAGAAGGUAAAAAGAAAGAGAGGGAGAAGAGAGAAAGAGAACCCGAUUCCUUUGGUUCCACCAGUAACAAGUGCAGUCAUGCCUUGAAGACUCCAUCUGUUGUCCUUCCUAGAGUUAUCUGAUUGAGCCAUUCUUACUUCCAUCUGUUGUCCUUCCUAGAGUUAUCUGCUUAAGCCAUUCUUACUUCUCUCUCUCUCGGCUUGUAGUUGAGAUAUAUUAAGUAUAUAUAGACAGUUUCUUCCCACGUAGGUCAUUGCUGACAAAAGAUUCAAUAGGAAAUUAAAUGGGGAAAGGACAGCAGUUGAGUAGUUGUUUCCAUAAUGUGGUCACAAUGAGUGGCAAUUUUAAACAAAUAAUAUAUUAAUGAAAAAUUGGAUAGAUUCUAAUAGUACUUGCUAUUUUAAUUCAAAAAACGUGUUUAGUAAGUUAAAAGAAGAUUUACGAGCUUGCCCUGUGAAAUGAGUGUGGAAUCAUUUUUCAAGGUACCAUUCAGAUUUGGUUGCUCGUUUCAACAAAGCCCAAAAUAUGCAAAUACGGUUUAUAGAGGAUCAAAGUUACAUACAUGCUGGGUUUCUUUGUUUAGGCAUAAAAACAAAGUUCAGGCAUAUGAAUGGGCUUGAACUAGCCUUCUCAGGCUCUGGCCUUGGCCGACCCAUGACACGUCUAGUUGAAAGGAGUCUUAUUGUAAGAGUCUUAUACAUGGCAAAUUGCGAAGUGGGGUGGGUGGUGUUCAAUUUCUUUUCAAGCUAUGUUUGAUGGGAAGAAGAGGCCGUUCAGUGUGAUCCCUCCAUCAACGUAAAUAAUCUGCCCUGUUAUAUAAGAAGCUGCAGGCAGGCAGAGAAAUGCCACCAAUGACGAGACUUCCUUUGGCUCUCCGGCGCGUCCCAUCGGAAUCUUAGUGAUGAAAGCCUCAAGUGCUUUUUCAUCAUGAAAAACCUACAAAGGAGAACGGAAAACAAUCGUAAUCAGCUCUUUCAAAAUUGGAGAAUGUGGAGUAAAGUAUGCUUUGACGAAGCUUUCCCAGUUUUCUAGCAAGGACAAUGUAGCAUUUGGUCUGCUAAUGUUAGGUUGGCCUGUUGCCUCUUCUGCUAAAUAGCAUUUUUCUAAGUUCUUGUCAUGGUGCUAAAGUGAUCCCACAUGUUCAUCUUUUCUCCAACAAAAUCACUUUUAUUUUUAUAUUGGACGAUAUUCGUGCUGGCUAAGUCCUAUUAUGAUCAUGCUGAAUGAUGAUAAGCCUAGGGAAAGCUAUUUACAGGUUCAGCAAGGGGAGUUCUGAUCAGUGAAGGUGCAACAGCGUUGACCCUAAUAUUAUCUCCCGCCCACUCACAUGCAAGGUGUUUUGCAAGCUGGUUCAUGGCCCCUGAAACAGAUACAUGAUAUUCAGGGAAAUGGCAAAAAAUUUAAG
This 26253-nucleotide long non-coding RNA is filed under the name Theobroma cacao (cacao). Its description in RNAcentral is "long non-coding RNA (TCAC_LNC005678)". Lineage: Eukaryota; Viridiplantae; Streptophyta; Magnoliopsida; Malvales; Malvaceae. The record is from RNAcentral.